RNAcentral lists this ribosomal RNA (440 nucleotides) under uncultured bacterium. RNAcentral describes it as "partial 16S ribosomal RNA". It matches the Rfam family "Bacterial small subunit ribosomal RNA", at positions 338 to 795 of the family's 1533-position model. The record is from RNAcentral.
CCUACGGGUGGCCGCCGUGGGGAAUAUUGCACAAUGGUGGAAACCCUGAUGCAGCGACGCCGCGGGAGUGAGGAAGUAUUUCGGUAUGUAACGCUCUAUCAGCAGGGAAGACAAUGACGGUACCUGACUAAGUAGCCCCGGCUAAAUACGUGCCCGCAGCCGCGGUAAUACGUAGAGGGCAAGCGUUAGCCGGAUUUACUGGGUGAAAAGGGAGCGUAGACGGGUAAUCAAGUCAGAGGUGAAAACCCAGGGCUCAACCUUGGGACUGCUUUUGAAACUGAGUAGCUAGAGUGCAGGAGAGGUGAGCGGAAUUCCUAGUGUAGCGGUGAAAUGCGUAGAUAUGAGGAGGAACACCAGUGGCGAAGGCGGCUUACUGGACUGUAACUGACGUUGAGGCUCGAAAGCGUGGGGAGCAAACAGGAUUAGAUAACCUUGUAGUC